AGAGUUUGAUCCUGGCUCAGGACGAACGCUGGCGGCGUGCUUAACACAUGCAAGUCAAGGGGGCCCAGCAAUGGGCAACCGGCGAACGGGUGCGUAACACGUGAGCAACCUACCGAACUGUGGGGGAUAGCCGGCCUAACGGCCGAGUAAUACCGCAUACGCUCUCAGUGAGGCAUUUCAUUGAGAGGAAACCUACGGGACAGAUCGAGGGGCUCGCGGCCUAUCAGCUAGUUGGCGAGGUAACGGCUCACCAAGGCAACGACGGGUAGCUGGUCUGAGAGGAUGGCCAGCCACAUUGGGACUGAGAUACGGCCCAGACUCCUACGGGAGGCAGCAGUGGGGAAUCUUGCGCAAUGGCCUAACGGCUGACGCAGCGACGCCGCGUGUGGGAUGAAGCUCUUCGGAGUGUAAACCACUGUUGCCCGGGACGAAUAGCUCGAUUAAUCGAGCCUGACAGUACCGGGUGAGGAAGCACCGGCUAACUCCGUGCCAGCAGCCGCGGUAAUACGGGGGGUGCGAGCGUUGUCCGGAAUCACUGGGCGUAAAGGGCGCGUAGGUGGUUUGAUAAGGGUGUGGUGAAAGUCCGGGGCUCAACCCCGGAUCUGCCGUGCCGACUGUCAAACUCGAGGACUGUAGAGGCAGACGGAAUUCCGGGUGUAGCGGUGGAAUGCGUAGAGAUCCGGAGGAAGACCGGUGGCGAAGGCGGUCUGCUGGGCAGCUUCUGACACUGAGGCGCGACAGCGUGGGGAGCAAACAGGAUUAGAUACCCUGGUAGUCC
This 778-nucleotide ribosomal RNA is filed under the name uncultured bacterium. RNAcentral describes it as "bacterial SSU rRNA". It matches the Rfam family "Bacterial small subunit ribosomal RNA", at positions 8 to 796 of the family's 1533-position model. The record is from RNAcentral.